Diorhabda sublineata is the source of this 2889-nucleotide long non-coding RNA. RefSeq lists it as uncharacterized. The record is from RefSeq and is a predicted model, not a curated record. Lineage: Eukaryota; Metazoa; Arthropoda; Insecta; Coleoptera; Chrysomelidae. The transcript has 2 exons.
GCAGAAGUAUUUUUAUUACAUUAUUAUAAUGUUAAGGCUUGGUCUUAGUGGUAACAUUUGAUGUUAUAAUAUUACAAUGUAAAUGUACAAUUUUUAAACUUAAACGUUUUAAAAAUAUCAGUCGUAAUAUAUAAAUUCAACGUCGCCGAUCUUAUAAAUUCUCGUCAUAAUUAAAAAACAAUCAUCAAAAAAAUCAGUCUUAAGAUUAUCUAUAAUGCAAACUAAAAGUUGACUGAAAAUACUAUAGGUCUUUUCAAUAUCUUCGAUUGAUAACGACCUGCAGUAGUAAUUAUAGCUGGUCAUAAACUACUGUGCGGAUAAUAAUUUAAAUACCUUCCUUUAUCUAACUGCUGCGGUAUUCGAAUAGUUUGAUAUGAAAUUGUUUAUACAAUAACUUCAAUUUAAAAAGUGGUCAUAAAAUCAAAGCUGUUAUAAUGAAGGCCACAUUUUGGAGGACCUAGCUUGGUGGUCUGUUGAAACAAUUAAAUCUCGCAUUUAGAUAAAACAAUACCUUCCGAUAGUUUGUUAAUGUACACAAAAAAUUAAUUCGUUUGGAAUCUUGAAAAAUCAUUUAUUGUUACUGCUGUAGCUAAUGAUUCGUUGUAUGUAUAUGAAAUAACUAAAAAUCCAAAGUUACUAUCUACUAGUUUAUGGCUGACAAUUAUCAUUAAUAGAAAAUUCUAUGAGAGUCUGAAAACAAUUUUCGGUUUUUGUUCCACAAUGAAAGCGCAUGCGAACACGACAAGACUUCACACAGUGUUGCCAGAGCUUGUACAAUUUUAGUACAUUUUAGUGUAUUUUAUACGCUAGUACAUUUUUCCUUUUUUCUAAUACAUUUUCCCUGCGUUCGCAAAUAUAAAAUAAUUUUAUAUUUUCGUUUAAUAAAAUAAACUAGAAAUGGUACUAGAUUGUAACAAUAAUUAGAAAACAGAGCCAAGUUGAUUUAUAUUUAGAUCGUGAGAUUUUUGUACUGCAUUGCUAAUUUUAUCGGUAAACUGUAUAUAAAUUUUUCAUCCUUAAAAUAAUAAUUGACACAGUCUAUAACAUUUUUGGAAAAAAAAUUUAAUGUAAACUUAUGUUUAUACAUCUUUCUAUAAUUUUAUUAAAUUUGUUUGAAGUUGGUACAAUUUAGUACAUUUUCUAGUUCAAUUUUUACAUUCAGCUUUUAAAUUGUGGCAACACUGCUCCACAUUCGCGGGUUGCUCAGUAACAGUUUUCGACACUACGAUUUUGCAUAUAAAAUGAGUACCGUGUGGAAUAACAAACUAGAAUUUUAUUUAUUCAAAUAUCUAUUUAAUGGUUUCGUUGCUGAGUUCAUAUAUUGAGAGGGAUUAUGAGGCAUAAGGAUAAUUAAUUUGAUGUUCUCACUUACUCCAUCUCAUAUAAAUAACGGGUAGGUUAUGGUAUUUUUCAAUACUUAUUAAUUAUAUAAAGAAAUUACUUCAAAAAUUGUUUCUUUGAAGUUGCUUUUGUGAUAAUUCGAUUGAAUAUAAUUUAUUCGAAAAGAAAUUACAAUCACAAUAUUAUCCCUUUUAUUGAAUAUACAAUUUUAUUUGUCUGAGGUAUUGACAUUAUAAUAACAGUUAUAAAUCUUUUUUCAAAAUUGUCUUGUGAAUAUUGGAAAAAAGUGAAUUUCUCACUUCACUGUUAUAAAGGAAUGUCAGUUAUUAUGUUUUAGAAAAAAGUGUACACUUAUUUUUGAACGUACAGCUUUAACAAUUAAUGCACAUAAUUGCAUUAAUGCACUUCUACAUAACAAACACACAUUUGUUUAAAAAGCUGAAGUAGCUCUUUUUUGAGCUGAAAUUUCUUCAAUUUCACUAUAAGUUCUCUUCUAAAAAGUGGCAUUCUACUAACUAGAGCUAAAAGUUCUUUACACAUGGUUUAUUUAUUUUAGAUUAUUUGCUACUAGCUGCAAUCUUCACUGAUUUCUUUUUUGAUACCGGUUUCUCCCUCCUCACUUCCUUCUUACUAUAUCUAAAAUAUUACUUCGUUUGUUUUGACAAUUUUCAGAAUAUUUUGAAAAAAUUUAUUGUACAUCUUCAAUUUCAAGGUGCCACUUACUAUUGCUCUUAUUAAUCUUGUUGAAGAUAUGCUGUUAUUUGUCUUCAGUACUGAACUAAAAUAUUGCUCUCGAAUAGUAAAUUUCCUCAUUUUUUUUCCUAUUAUUUAUUAAAUACUAAAUGGAAACGAUCGAGCUUUAACUAUCUCCUUAUUGAGCAGCUUUUCUCCUCACAUAAAGGCAGAUGCAUUUCAUAAAUUUUGUACUGUUCAAAGUUAACGAAAACUUUUUAUACAAGAUAUCAAACAUAUGAACUAAAAUUAAUGGUAGAUUAUUAAUCUGCAUAUAAUUGAAUCACUUUUGUUAAUUGUGUAGUACAUGUUUAUCAUUAUGACGAGAAACUAUUAAGGAAGUACUUUCUUAUCAUUCAGUAAUAAAGAAUUAUUCUUUAUUACUCAAUGCGUUUAUUACAUUAUAAUAUACAUCUUGGGUAAAUUGUUCAAACAAGAUAGUCAUUCAUUAAUUUUUCAGCAAAUUCGAGAAUUUACAAAUAGGUUUUAUCAAAAUGGAAUAACAUGGUAAAAAGAAAAUUUUUUUGUUUGUUUUUAUUUCAGAAAACUUCAAUACUUGAACAAACAUAACUAAAGAAAUAUCCUUAAUUAUAAGAAUUAUUCCUGUAUUAUUGUUUCAGGAUUAACAAUUUGAAUGUAACAUGUCAAUUCUUCCACUUAAUAAUAAUAGUUUUUUUGUGACACUAGAAGUAUUCAAUCCGGGAAAGAGAAAAAUUAUUGGAUGACAGUCAACUUCUAAAAUAUUACAACAAUGUGAAAUAAAUUCUUUGUAAUGUACUUACGUAGACAAAUAAAGAACUUCUGGGAAGAGAUUAA